Molecule: long non-coding RNA, 3608 nt
Organism: Schistocerca nitens (vagrant locust)
Lineage: Eukaryota; Metazoa; Arthropoda; Insecta; Orthoptera; Acrididae
Exons: 3
Source: RefSeq, a predicted model, not a curated record
AAGGACUGGAACAAGGAUUGGAAUCCCCUAUAUUGGGUUACUGAUUUCUCGGAGUCAGAGAUAAAUGCAAUUGAGCAAGCAUUCCCUCAGACGAAAGUUUACUUGUGCCUUUUCCAUCGAAAACAGGCAUGGGGAAGAUGGUUGAAAAAAAAAGGAUAAUCUACGUGUACCAAAUGACAUGAAGACAUUUCUGGAUAUGUGGCAAGAAAUUUCAGAAUCACCAACAGAGAGAGAAUUUAGAGAUCGUGUAGAAGAGUUGCGAACGCAUGAGGUUUCUCGGAGAAAAGAGCGUGCAUGGCCAUACUUUCAACAGCAAUGGCUAACGGUAUGUGAAAGAUGGGUGAAAGCGUAUGAGGACAAGGGCAGAUUUGCAACUAUUGACACUACAAAUGGAGUUGAAGCAAUGAACAAGGUUGUAAAACAUUUUUUUCCUUAAACACAAUUCAGACAGGACUUUAACUGGGGUUACUAAGGUUAUAAUAAACCAGUUUCUUCCAAGCCUAAUUAGAAAGUACUGUCUGCAGAAUUCUGCCAUCAAAGCUUAUAACAAAGAUGUUCCACUGUUUUUGCAUAAAAAAACAAACAAGUUUGUGAAACAUGUCAUGCAGCGAUAUGCAUCAGCAAAAGUUGAGUUAACUGCAAGAUCAGUGAGUAGGAGAUCGGAUGGUUCAUUUUGUGUGGAGAGUGCAAAGUCCAAAAACUGUAAUUAUGUAGUAAACUUUGAUAUACCAGAUUGCACAUGUGAAGAUUUUCGGAGAUAUAAAUACUCAUGCAAGCAUUUCUGUGCAAUCUUUAUUUUUUACCCAGAGUGGGGUUUUGAUAAAAUGCCAGAAAGUUAUGACUAGUCCAUUAAUCUGUCUUGAUGAAAUGUAUGGGGUGGGCUUUAGAAGUGGCUCUUCAGUAAUUUCAUAUGAAGGCAGUAGUAGUGACGAAGCUGUUGAGGAGGCAGUUGAAGCAGCUGAGGAGGCUGUCGAGGUUGAGGAGGCUGUCGAGGCAGCAAAUACAGAUGGUGUUGUUCAAACCAAGAAUAUUCCUUUGCAGCAGUUUGAAGCAAGGGAGCUGUGUAAACAGAUUUAUAAUCUCACAUACAACUGCAGCAAGAGCGAAACAUUACAAAAAGUACUUGAAUCACUGAGCAACUGUGUGCAAGAUUUGCAAUUAGCAAAUCCUGAAGUUGGUGGUCUCCCAUUAGCAGUGCCAUCAACUUCCAAACAAUAGCGAAGAACAAUGCCAAAAGCCUUACAAGAUCUGUCUUAAACACAUUAUAACAUCCCAUUUGAAGGGUAAGAAAUGACUGUUUAUUUGAAUUUUAGAUAGCUCUUUGUCUAUGUAAAAUACAAAUAAGCUCCGUCAUUUCUGAUCCUCGAGAUGGAAUGCUAUGAGGUCUUUAUGUUGGUCUCUGCUUUUAAACUUUGUUGCACAUUUGAAUUUCGAAGUAGCAAUAGAUAAAAUAUUAUAAAACGGGUAGUUGCUACAUUUGUGUGUGUGUUUGUGAGUGAGCGAGUGUGCGCGCGCGCUUUUGAAAAGGCCCUUGUUGCCCGAAAGAUAAGUCCGACAGUCUUUUUGUUGUGCCUUUCUGUGACUCAGCAUCUUCACCAUUUGGUGAGCAGCAACAACUAUCCUUUUCAUAAUAUUGUUACAUUCCAUCCUGGAUUUUUCGUUGUUCAUCAGAGAAAAGAUUUUUCUGAGGAAUUAAACUAGAUGGUAGUGUAGAACUUGCAAACUUUUUAAAAUAUGAAGUAAAAGAUUUUAACUUUAAAUUAGGUUAAUUCAAAUAUGGGACAAUGUUGAGAAUUGAAAAGGUGGAAAAAAUAAAUAAGAUAUAUCUUAGUGGCAUUGAGAUGUCGUAUGACUGAUGGAGGAAAGAUUUUGCAUUUCUUUUUCCAAGUAAGAAUGCACUUGCUCUCACUUGCUUCAAAACAUGUCUAGUGAUUCAUGUGAAACAGAGAAAAAGAUACUGCCCUGUUAAUGAACAUGAGAUUGCCCAGUAUCACUCUGACAGAAGAGUAUGGUGUUUCCUUGAUAUGGUAUCUGGUCAGCAAUGUCAUUGGGACCAAAUGAAAGUUACUGCAGAUACCACACAGAAGCAAUUACUGUUACUGGAAUACCAGUAAUGUUUAUUAAAUUCAGUUGUAAAGUAGUUCUGGGCAUUGCAGCUGGCGAGCAAUGUCAUUGGGCACCAAAAGAAGUUCAGUUAUGAUGGAUUUCUGGCCUUCAGUCCAUGGGAAAAUUCACACCAGAUUGCAUCAAGACUGUUAUAUUCCAAGGAUAUCUUGGAAGAUUGAUAGUAUUCCUGAAGGAAAACAAUCCAUAUAGUAUUUCACGUGUGUAUCAAACUGCCAUUUGUUGUGGCACAUAAAUGUUUGCAAUUUGAUUGUAAUUUUCGAACAGUUCCUCAACAGUCCAAGGAUUUCUUGUAAUGAGAAGUAGACAUUGUUGCUUCGGUAAAGGAAAUACAAAUCACGGUCAAUAUAACUACCUUAUUAACUUUCCACAGAGAAAUAUUUUUCACUACUGCUACUUAAAAAUUCAAAUGUGUGACAAAGUUUGCUUACAGAACUUGGCAUAAAGAUCUCCCUUAUUAGUAUUUUUUAGGUAGCUCUUAUUGUUUGAUCCUUCAAAUGGAAUGCUAUGACCUCCAUGUGAUCUAUUCCUUAGUAGUUAAUUAUCCAUUAAGGCACAAAUAUAUGAACAUUACAAUGAGAGGGGUCUUUAUGCUAGGCCCUGUAAAAGUAAUGGCAUCUUACUUAAUAUUAUUGUUGGGAAUUUGAUGGCACAGCUGUGGGGAGACCACAAAUUUCAGGGUUUGCUAACUGCAAAUCUGGCACACAGUUGCUGAGUGAUUCAAGUACUUUUCAUAAUGUUUCACUGUUGAUACAGUUGUAUGUGAGAUGAUAAACCUGUUUGAACACCACCUUCACUUCAAAUUGCUGCAAAGAAAUGGUUAAGGUAUCAGUGUGAUGCUCUAUAUGUGUUUCCUCAACUGUGUCCUCAUUGCUACUGUCUUCAUGUGAAAUUACUGCAGACACACUUCUGAAACCAAACCUGUACAUCUUGUGAAGACAGAUUAAUGGGCUGUUCCUGCAGCUUUCUGGUAUUUUAUCAAAACCCCACUCUGGAUAGAAAAUAAAGAUUGCACAGAAAUGCUUGCAUGGGUAUUUAUAUAUCUCAAAAUCUUCACAUGCGCAGUUUGGUAGAGCAAAGCUUACAACAUAAUUAGUCUUUGAACAUUGUACUCUCCAUAUAAAACAUUGUCCAACUUCACAUUCACUAAUCUUGCAGUUAAUUCAACUUUCCCUGGUGCGUAUCACUGCAUGACAUGUUUCACAAACUUGCUUUUUUCAAAAAAAAAAAAAAAAUGAAAAAACAGUGGAACAUGUCUGUUAUGAUUUGAUGGCAGAAUUCUGCAGACAGUACUUUCUAAUUAGGCUUGGAAGAAAUUGAUUUCUUAUAUCCCUAGUAGCCCCAUUGAAGGUCCCAUCUGUGUUCCAUUUUAGGAAAAAAAAUGUUUACAAUCUUGUUCAUGGCGUCAACUCCACUUGUAAUGUCAAUGGUAUCAAAAUUUAUGUUCAUGUAAUAUUUUUAACAUUGAUUGUAGUAAGGUGUAA